RNAcentral lists this long non-coding RNA (239 nucleotides) under Suricata suricatta (meerkat). RNAcentral's name for it is "lncRNA (ENSSSUG00005013622.1)". The record is from RNAcentral. Lineage: Eukaryota; Metazoa; Chordata; Mammalia; Carnivora; Herpestidae.
UCUACCCUAAAUUGGUUCUCAUUCAUAUGGUAUGAUUUAAAAAUAUAUUUUUGUUGUCUUGCUCCAGGUAUAAAAUAAACAUCAUCUGCUGAAAUCCCGAGCACUUCUUUAAAUUCUUUGCGUUUUCUCAGGAGGAUCAGGACCUGUUGGAGAAAUUUUGAUAAGAUUGGCAAACACGUUGCCUGUUUACAGCAUAGAGACCACAAUGGAGAGCUAGACUAUUUGAACUCCAGAAGGAC